Molecule: long non-coding RNA, 3602 nt
Filed under: Sus scrofa (pig)
Lineage: Eukaryota; Metazoa; Chordata; Mammalia; Artiodactyla; Suidae
Description: lncRNA (ENSSSCG00030015819.1)
Source: RNAcentral
ACUCUGCCACUAGCAGAAAUAUGCCAGAGCCGAAGAAAAAUUGUGCUCUUUAGACACCCUCCUCACUUCUUCCCAAGUACUGGGGUGUCAUGACACUGUUCAGAUCUGCCCUUCUCCUUGGAGUUGUGGCAGUAAGUCAUUUGGCUACAGGAUGACUUCUCUGGCUGUAGACCUAUCCUUCAGGAUAGGAUGCUAUUAAUCAGCCCUGUGCAUGACGUCAUCAAAGGAAUGGCUCCUGCAUAUAAGGAACAUAUUAUGGCUUUGUCAUUCUACCGAUUUAAAAUGCUUCUGUGCUUUCAUCCAUCAGAUUCUUGCAAUUCCUUUCAACAUGGAGCAUAAGAUAGCUUCUAAGAACUGCCUAGAUUUUGCUUUGUUAAGAAAUGUAUGAGCUAUUCUGAGUUUUGGACCACUACUUCAACAUCUAGCAUCAAGAAGAAUGGUUAGGAAGAGAGAGAAGACAUAUACAUUGGUUAUGUCAAGAGUUUCUUGCCCUUUUUGGAGGUUUAAGUUCUUCUGCCAGCAUUCGCAGAUGUUCUGGGUUCCCAGCACAAUGAGACUUGGGCUAAUUAACUCCUAAGCAGAAACACAGACUUACAAUGAGGUACAGAAAGAACAUCAGUUACAGAGCAACAACACUGCUGUUCAAAAACACUCGUCUCCAGCUAUUUCUUUAUACCUUCUGAUGUGGCUUCAUAUCUAAGAGGACAAAAUAGCUUCAUCUUUGUCUGAGGAAUGCCAAGGGGAUGGAAAUAUGAAAAUGCCACCAGGAGCUUUUAUUUUUACAACUAGCAAUGGUAUGAUUUUCAUUGCAUGAAUAAGUGAACUGACCUUUACAAAGUGUGGUUCUCCAGGCCAAGGUCAUGCAGAGAUGGAAAAGCAGAGUGAUGCUGCAGACCCAGAUGCUGUCCACCUGUGAGCAAACAGGGGCACAUAAGGCCAUCGGGGUCCUGGUUCCUCCCCCUCACCUUCUCAGAGAAAAAUCUCAUCAGCAGUGUUUUUCUUGAGAUUCCUAUGAUGUCAAAGACCUACCUGAAACACCUCCAGAUAGUCUCGUAUUCCAGUGCUAACUGCCGCCUGCUCUUCCUCUAGCCAUUAUAUUUUCUUUCUAAAGUUUCCAGAGGCUCCAGGGGACUCCUCAGCCUCCUAUGAAGAGAAACUCUCUCAGGUGCUUCUGGAAGACCCCACGGGGGCCUCACCUGUGAUCACAGCUCGUGAGUUGAGUCUGCCAGUUAAAAGGCCCAUGCUGUCCACCUUUCUUCUGCUACAGAUUUACCUGACGAUGUUCUCCAGCCAUGAAGCUCCAUGAGAGAAUUCCCCAUUGCCCCCACACAACCUCUUUACAGUGCAUUGUUUCCAGGCCUUCCAUAAGAGGGCAGCUUUGGAAGUGGCUGACCUGCCCUGGGUUCUAGUCAAAGUGCUCGGAUUCAAGUCUGUGCCUGCACUGCCCUCUGGCCCCAGGGGAACACUAACUCCCCCCACCUCAAAGAUUUCCUCCAGUUUUUGGCCUCACUACCUCUCCUUAGGUUGCAAAAGUAACUUAAAAAGGCCAGACAGACAGAGUUCCUGCUGUGGCUCAGUGGUAACCAACCCAACUAAUAUCUAGGAGGACACGAGUUUGAUCCUGGCCCUCCCUCAGUGGGUUAGGAUCCGGCAUUGCCAAGAGCUGUGGUAUAGGUCACAGAUAUGGCUUGGAUCUGGCAUUGCUGUGGCUGUGGUGUAGGCUAGCAGCUGCAGCUCCAAUUCAACCCCUAGCCUGGGAACUUCCAUAUGCCACAGGUGUGGCCCUAGAAGAAAAAAAUAAAAAUAAAAAGCCAGAUAGAACACAGAUUCCAAUCUUCUCCAUCUACUUACACCUUCACUUCAUGCCAUGCACCAAAAACACAUAAACAGACAAGCCCUCUUCCUCUCUAAUUCCACCACGACGGACGAUUUUAGAGCCUCAGGUUCAUCAGUUUUGCAAGACAUAGGCCUUUCCACAACCUGUUAACACUUUCAAGUGGAUUACAGCCUGUCAUUUCCCCUAGAACAUACUUGUUUCCGUUACACUACUCCUGGGUUGUGAGAGUUUCUUCUUUAUCAUGUUCUAAUUUUCUGACUGAUCUAGAAGGAACAUUCAAAUUUAAUUCUAUGUGCAACUACAGAGUCUCACACUAAGUGAAGUUAAGUCAGAAAGAGAAAGACAAAUACCACAUGAUAUCACUUACAUGUGGAAUCUAAAAUAUGGCACAAAUGAACUUUUAUUAUGAAACAGAAAGACUCAUAGACAUAGAGAACAAAACUGUGUCUGCCAAGAGGUGGAGGAGGAAGUGGGAGGGACUGGGAGUUUGGGUCAGUAGAUGCAAACUAUUACAUUUAGAAUGGAUAGGCAAUGAGGGCCUACUGUACAGCACUGGGAACUCUGUCCAAUCUCACAGAAUAGAACAUGAUGGAGGAUGAUAUGAGAAAAAGUAUAUACAUGUAUAUCUGGGUCACUCUGCUGUAUAGUGGGGAUUGGCACAAAGUUGUAAAUCAACUAUAAUAAAAAAUAAAAUAAUAAUAAAACAAAUUUAAUUCUAUGAUAACAUUCCAGGAGAAAGGGGAGUGAAUGCAGAAAAGAGAAAACUCAAGCUGAUUUAAUUUUUUACUACCACGGUUUUCUGUUUAUUGUUGGAAAGCUAUACACAUACUCAAUAUGUUUGUUUUUUUAAAAAAGAACCGAGGAUAUUUCAAGCCCUAAAAUUUGGCCAUGUAACUUAAAUACAAAUGAAGAUGCGUACCUGAAUUUCUGUUUAUACCUCUGGGACAGCUAUGUUUUGUUUUUUUUUUAAACUUUAUGAGGCAGAGUAAUUCCUCAUUCCUCAUGGUUUUGUUUCUUUUGUAAAAUGAUUCACUUGAGAAAACUCCAAUUCCACGGGAAUAUGAUCAAAAUCUUCAUUCUAGUUUAGAGAUGCUGUUCUAAAUUAAAUUUGUUCUAAAGGCCAUUUCAUUUCAAAAGUCACUAAAGAAAUAAAUUAUACAUUUCAUUUUACAAUUUUAAAUGUUGCAGUUGACUCUGAAAUACAUAUUUUCUUUUGAGACUAUAGUCUCAUAAAAAGUAGGUGUUAAAAUCCUUAGAGUUAGAAUCUAUAAUGCACUGGCUCAUACAAAGGAAGAAAUUUUAAAGACAAGACAAAAGGAAGUGAGAGCAUUUGAGGACUGGGUAGUGGAUUAAUGUUCACGGCUUGCAAAACCAGCACAAACUCUACCAUUUAGUACAUACCUACUCACCACAACACCUAUGCAUACACACACACACACACACACACACACACACACACACACUUACUUUACAUUUGCCAUCAUACACCUCUGCUCUUUACCCUAAAUAAUCUUUAGAUCCAUGCAAUGGCCCUGACUUGCCUAACAAUUAACUGGAAGAUGUGACAAAAAAGUCAGAGAGCAAGAAUAUACUGUGGCCCAAGAAACCUUCUGUGUUUAAAAGAGGCAAUAAUUUUGGAGGAUGAUUUUCCUUUCCAGAAACGCACCUCCCAUUCUCAUCUGUUCUCCUGUCUCUGUGGCCACAUUAGUGUGCCUUUAAGCCUCUGCUGAUCAAUUAUGCUCUUCAAUUUAAAAAAAAAAAAAAA